This 2925-nucleotide ribosomal RNA is filed under the name Escherichia coli E1140. RNAcentral describes it as "bacterial LSU rRNA". It matches the Rfam family "Bacterial large subunit ribosomal RNA". The record is from RNAcentral. Lineage: Bacteria; Pseudomonadati; Pseudomonadota; Gammaproteobacteria; Enterobacterales; Enterobacteriaceae.
GGGUUGUGAGGUUAAGCGACUAAGCGUACACGGUGGAUGCCCUGGCAGUCAGAGGCGAUGAAGGACGUGCUAAUCUGCGAUAAGCGUCGGUAAGGUGAUAUGAACCGUUAUAACCGGCGAUUUCCGAAUGGGGAAACCCAGUGUGAUUCGUCACACUAUCAUUAACUGAAUCCAUAGGUUAAUGAGGCGAACCGGGGGAACUGAAACAUCUAAGUACCCCGAGGAAAAGAAAUCAACCGAGAUUCCCCCAGUAGCGGCGAGCGAACGGGGAGCAGCCCAGAGCCUGAAUCAGUGUGUGUGUUAGUGGAAGCGUCUGGAAAGGCGCGCGAUACAGGGUGACAGCCCCGUACACAAAAAUGCACAUGCUGUGAGCUCGAUGAGUAGGGCGGGACACGUGGUAUCCUGUCUGAAUAUGGGGGGACCAUCCUCCAAGGCUAAAUACUCCUGACUGACCGAUAGUGAACCAGUACCGUGAGGGAAAGGCGAAAAGAACCCCGGCGAGGGGAGUGAAAAAGAACCUGAAACCGUGUACGUACAAGCAGUGGGAGCACGCUUAGGCGUGUGACUGCGUACCUUUUGUAUAAUGGGUCAGCGACUUAUAUUCUGUAGCAAGGUUAACCGAAUAGGGGAGCCGAAGGGAAACCGAGUCUUAACUGGGCGUUAAGUUGCAGGGUAUAGACCCGAAACCCGGUGAUCUAGCCAUGGGCAGGUUGAAGGUUGGGUAACACUAACUGGAGGACCGAACCGACUAAUGUUGAAAAAUUAGCGGAUGACUUGUGGCUGGGGGUGAAAGGCCAAUCAAACCGGGAGAUAGCUGGUUCUCCCCGAAAGCUAUUUAGGUAGCGCCUCGUGAAUUCAUCUCCGGGGGUAGAGCACUGUUUCGGCAAGGGGGUCAUCCCGACUUACCAACCCGAUGCAAACUACGAAUACCGGAGAAUGUUAUCACGGGAGACACACGGCGGGUGCUAACGUCCGUCGUGAAGAGGGAAACAACCCAGACCGCCAGCUAAGGUCCCAAAGUCAUGGUUAAGUGGGAAACGAUGUGGGAAGGCCCAGACAGCCAGGAUGUUGGCUUAGAAGCAGCCAUCAUUUAAAGAAAGCGUAAUAGCUCACUGGUCGAGUCGGCCUGCGCGGAAGAUGUAACGGGGCUAAACCAUGCACCGAAGCUGCGGCAGCGACGCUUAUGCGUUGUUGGGUAGGGGAGCGUUCUGUAAGCCUGCGAAGGUGUGCUGUGAGGCAUGCUGGAGGUAUCAGAAGUGCGAAUGCUGACAUAAGUAACGAUAAAGCGGGUGAAAAGCCCGCUCGCCGGAAGACCAAGGGUUCCUGUCCAACGUUAAUCGGGGCAGGGUGAGUCGACCCCUAAGGCGAGGCCGAAAGGCGUAGUCGAUGGGAAACAGGUUAAUAUUCCUGUACUUGGUGUUACUGCGAAGGGGGGACGGAGAAGGCUAUGUUGGCCGGGCGACGGUUGUCCCGGUUUAAGCGUGUAGGCUGGUUUUCCAGGCAAAUCCGGAAAAUCAAGGCUGAGGCGUGAUGACGAGGCACUACGGUGCUGAAGCAACAAAUGCCCUGCUUCCAGGAAAAGCCUCUAAGCAUCAGGUAACAUCAAAUCGUACCCCAAACCGACACAGGUGGUCAGGUAGAGAAUACCAAGGCGCUUGAGAGAACUCGGGUGAAGGAACUAGGCAAAAUGGUGCCGUAACUUCGGGAGAAGGCACGCUGAUAUGUAGGUGAAGUCCCUCGCGGAUGGAGCUGAAAUCAGUCGAAGAUACCAGCUGGCUGCAACUGUUUAUUAAAAACACAGCACUGUGCAAACACGAAAGUGGACGUAUACGGUGUGACGCCUGCCCGGUGCCGGAAGGUUAAUUGAUGGGGUUAGCGCAAGCGAAGCUCUUGAUCGAAGCCCCGGUAAACGGCGGCCGUAACUAUAACGGUCCUAAGGUAGCGAAAUUCCUUGUCGGGUAAGUUCCGACCUGCACGAAUGGCGUAAUGAUGGCCAGGCUGUCUCCACCCGAGACUCAGUGAAAUUGAACUCGCUGUGAAGAUGCAGUGUACCCGCGGCAAGACGGAAAGACCCCGUGAACCUUUACUAUAGCUUGACACUGAACAUUGAGCCUUGAUGUGUAGGAUAGGUGGGAGGCUUUGAAGUGUGGACGCCAGUCUGCAUGGAGCCGACCUUGAAAUACCACCCUUUAAUGUUUGAUGUUCUAACGUUGACCCGUGAUCCGGGUUGCGGACAGUGUCUGGUGGGUAGUUUGACUGGGGCGGUCUCCUCCUAAAGAGUAACGGAGGAGCACGAAGGUUGGCUAAUCCUGGUCGGACAUCAGGAGGUUAGUGCAAUGGCAUAAGCCAGCUUGACUGCGAGCGUGACGGCGCGAGCAGGUGCGAAAGCAGGUCAUAGUGAUCCGGUGGUUCUGAAUGGAAGGGCCAUCGCUCAACGGAUAAAAGGUACUCCGGGGAUAACAGGCUGAUACCGCCCAAGAGUUCAUAUCGACGGCGGUGUUUGGCACCUCGAUGUCGGCUCAUCACAUCCUGGGGCUGAAGUAGGUCCCAAGGGUAUGGCUGUUCGCCAUUUAAAGUGGUACGCGAGCUGGGUUUAGAACGUCGUGAGACAGUUCGGUCCCUAUCUGCCGUGGGCGCUGGAGAACUGAGGGGGGCUGCUCCUAGUACGAGAGGACCGGAGUGGACGCAUCACUGGUGUUCGGGUUGUCAUGCCAAUGGCACUGCCCGGUAGCUAAAUGCGGAAGAGAUAAGUGCUGAAAGCAUCUAAGCACGAAACUUGCCCCGAGAUGAGUUCUCCCUGACCCUUUAAGGGUCCUGAAGGAACGUUGAAGACGACGACGUUGAUAGGCCGGGUGUGUAAGCGCAGCGAUGCGUUGAGCUAACCGGUACUAAUGAACCGUGAGGCUUAACCUUACAACGCCGAAG